Non-coding RNA from Pelodiscus sinensis (Chinese soft-shelled turtle), 342 nucleotides. The record is from the annotation of a RefSeq genome assembly. Lineage: Eukaryota; Metazoa; Chordata; Testudines; Trionychidae.
AUGGGAUUUUGGCUCGGUUUGAUUUUCAUUGUAGCUGCAUUGGAAGGUGCCCGGUCCCAGCCGCAGCUGAUGGAGUCCGGAGGGGAUGUGAAGAAGCCCGGAGACUCUCUGCGCCUCUCCUGCAAAGCCUCCGGCUUCACCUUCAGCAGCUACAACAUGAGCUGGAUCCGCCAUGCUCCUGAGAAGGGGCUGGAGUGGGUCGGGCGAAUUUACACCGAUGGGAGCCAACAGUUUUACGCAGGCUCAGUGAAAGGCCGAUUCUCCAUCUCCAGGGACAACCGCAACAACCAGCUGUCCCUGCAAAUGACCGGCCUGAAGCCCGAGGACACCGCCCGCUAUUAC